UAAAGAGUUCUAAAACUCCCAAACCCAUGUGAACAUACCUAACGUUGCCUCGGCAGGUCGCACCUACCUUGUAGCACCCUACCCUGUAGGGCCUACCCGGGAGGUGCGGGUAAGCCUGCCGGCGGCCCACCAAACUCUGUUUUAUAUUGAAUUCUGAACAUAUAACUAAAUAAGUUAAAACUUUCAACAACGGAUCUCUUGGUUCUGGCAUCGAUGAAGAACGCAGCGAAAUGCGAUAAGUAAUGUGAAUUGCAGAAUUCAGUGAAUCAUCGAAUCUUUGAACGCAUAUUGCGCCCAUUAGUAUUCUAGUGGGCAGGACCGUUCGAGCGUCAUUUCGACCCUUAAGCCUUAGUUGCUUAGUGUUGGGAGCCUACGGAAACGUAGCUCCUCAAAGUUAGUGGCGGAGUUGGUUCACACUCUAGACGUAGUAAUUUUUUAUCUCGCCUAUUAGUUGGACUGAUCCCCUGCCGUAAAACCCCCAACUUAUCAAGGUUGACCUCGAAUCGGUUCAGACAAACUCGCUAAAUUGAAGCAUCUUAGUCAGCGAAGGAAAAGAAACCAACAGGGAUUGCCCUAGUAACGGCGAGUGAAGCGGCAACAGCUCAAAUUUGAAAUCUGGCCCUCGGGUCCGAGUUGUAA
This 639-nucleotide ribosomal RNA is filed under the name fungal endophyte. RNAcentral describes it as "eukaryotic LSU rRNA". The stretch from base 179 to 332 matches the Rfam family "5.8S ribosomal RNA". Lineage: Eukaryota; Fungi. The record is from RNAcentral.